RNAcentral lists this long non-coding RNA (835 nucleotides) under Lactuca sativa (garden lettuce). RNAcentral's name for it is "long non-coding RNA (LSAT_LNC002306)". Lineage: Eukaryota; Viridiplantae; Streptophyta; Magnoliopsida; Asterales; Asteraceae. The record is from RNAcentral.
GAACCACCACCAGUUUACAAUCCUCCUCCGGUUUACAAUCCUCCUCCUGUUUACACACCAACACCAAAGCCAGAACCACCAGUAGUCAAGCCUCCUUGUGACCCAAAACCAAAGCCACAGCCACCUGUCUACAAACCUGCUCCCAUUCCGGUUUAUAAGCCAAAGCCAAAGCCGCCAGUCUACAAGCCUGCUCCCGUCCCAGUUUACAAGCCAAAGCCAAAUCCAGAGCCUCCAGUCUACAAGCCUGCUCCCAUUCCGGUUUAUAAGCCAAAGCCAAAGCCACCAGUCUACAAGCCUUCUCCCAUCCCAGUUUACAAACCAAAGCCAAAUCCAGAGCCUCCGGUUUACAAGCCUGCUCCCAUUCCAGUUUAUAAGCCAAAACCAAAACCGCCUGUUUAUAAGCCUGCUCCCGUUCCAGUUUACAAACCAAAGCCAAAGCCACCCGUUUACAAGCCUGCUCCAGUUCCGGUUUACAAGCCAAAGCCAAAGCCGCCAGUCUACAAACCGGCUCCGGUUCCAGUUUACAAGCCAAAACCAGAGCCACCGGUUUACAAGCCAGCUCCGGUUCCGGUUCCAGUUUACAAACCAAAGCCAAAGCCGCCAGUCUACAAACCUUCCCCUGUUCCAGUUUAUAAGCCAAAGCCUGAGCCACCGGUCUACAAACCUGCCCCUGUUCCAGUUUACAAGCCAAAGCCAGAGCCACCGGUUGUCAAGCCUCCUUGUGACCCAAAACCAAAACCAGAGCCACCUGUCUACAAGCCUGCUCCCGUUCCUAUUUACAAACCUAAGCCAGAGCCGCCAGUCUACAAGCCUUCUCCAGUUCCAGUUUACAAAC